AAGACAUACAGAUCCAUGAAUGUCAAAGUCAUUAGCACACGACUUUCAGGUAUCUCGUCAGCCAUUACCUUGCACAGUAUUUCCUAGUAUCCCGUUAGAAUCAAAAGAGGAACACUAUUACUAUCAGUGGAAGCUAGUGCUGUUUAACGGAAAUUUCUCUUCAUAUUUAUACGACAAACAAUGCAAUUAAUCAAUCCCUGCAAUAGCUUCGG
Molecule: unclassified non-coding RNA, 212 nt
Filed under: Hevea brasiliensis (rubber tree)
Lineage: Eukaryota; Viridiplantae; Streptophyta; Magnoliopsida; Malpighiales; Euphorbiaceae
Source: RNAcentral